RNAcentral lists this ribosomal RNA (301 nucleotides) under uncultured bacterium. RNAcentral describes it as "partial 16S ribosomal RNA". It matches the Rfam family "Bacterial small subunit ribosomal RNA", at positions 509 to 807 of the family's 1533-position model. The record is from RNAcentral.
CAGUAGCCGCGGUAAUACGAAGGGUGCAAGCGUUACUCGGAAUUACUGGGCGUAAAGCGUGCGUAGGUGGUGGUUUAAGUCCGUUGUGAAAGCCCUGGGCUCAACCUGGGAAUUGCAGUGGAUACUGGGUCACUAGAGUGUGGUAGAGGAUAGUGGAAUUUCCGGUGUAGCAGUGAAAUGCGUAGAGAUCGGAAGGAACAUCUGUGGCGAAGGCGACUAUCUGGGCCAACACUGACGCUGAGGCACGAAAGCGUGGGGAGCAAACAGGAUUAGAUACCCCUGUAGUCCCUGUCUCUUAUAC